AUUUAAAUAGUUUAAUUAAAAUGUUGACUUGUGGUGUCAAAGAUGUAAUUGAUUACUUUAAAUU
Molecule: transfer RNA, 64 nt
Filed under: Oryctes rhinoceros (rhinoceros beetle)
Lineage: Eukaryota; Metazoa; Arthropoda; Insecta; Coleoptera; Scarabaeidae
Description: tRNA-His
Source: RNAcentral